AAUACAUAGUAGGUUUUAAUAGUAUUGUCAUUGGAACAAGAGGUAAAUAUAUUUCAAGUAGAAAACGCUAAUCUUUUACUGACAUUACUACAGUUAAAAAAAUAUGGGUGAAUGAACGCACCUCGUGAAGGCUGACACUGGACCCGAGAUUAAAACGAACACAAAUAAAUAAAAAACAUAAAUGAAGACUUAAAUCAUUUUAUUUAUUUUAUAAAUAAACUAAAUUGGAUAUCUAAAGGCACGACAGCUAGCGUAUAACAGCAAAGGAUAUUUACAUAAAAGAUAAAUGAUUGAAUAAAAUGUACAACUUAACAAUUUCCAUGAGUAAAAUAAAAUAAAAAAGAAGAAUAUUUCGCUCUUAAAAUAAUAUACUACCCGUGCAAAUAAAGAUUGGGCUGAGCUGCCUCGCACAGGAGACAGCGAUAGUGUGCGAGUAGGAGGUGAAUAGAGGCGUCAUAUUCAGUCCCAUACUUUAUCUACGCGAGUAUUCAAAAUCGAAAUUCCCUAUACAACUAUACAGCGAAUUCCGUCUAAAACAUAUCAGUCGAAUCCACUAUAAAUCACAGUAUAAAUUAAUCAUUAUGGCUGAGCUGUAAUUAUUAAACGAUUCAUACGGCAAGUCUUUAUUAAAACCUGAUAUAUUUUUUU
Vanessa tameamea is the source of this 648-nucleotide long non-coding RNA. RefSeq lists it as uncharacterized. The record is from RefSeq and is a predicted model, not a curated record. Lineage: Eukaryota; Metazoa; Arthropoda; Insecta; Lepidoptera; Nymphalidae. The transcript has 2 exons.